UAGGUGGCAAGCGUUGUCCGGAAUUAUUGGGCGUAAAGGGCUCGCAGGCGGUUUCUUAAGUCUGAUGUGAAAGCCCCCGGCUCAACCGGGGAGGGUCAUUGGAAACUGGGGAACUUGAGUGCAGAAGAGGAGAGUGGAAUUCCACGUGUAGCGGUGAAAUGCGUAGAGAUGUGGAGGAACACCAGUGGCGAAGGCGACUCUCUGGUCUGUAACUGACGCUGAGGAGCGAAAGCGUGGGGAGCGA
This 244-nucleotide ribosomal RNA is filed under the name uncultured bacterium. Its description in RNAcentral is "partial 16S ribosomal RNA". It matches the Rfam family "Bacterial small subunit ribosomal RNA", at positions 528 to 771 of the family's 1533-position model. The record is from RNAcentral.